UACCGCUACAAUGGGAAGCUGAACUUAGGCCCAGUUGGGGUCUCCGCAAGGGAGCUGAACCGGGGAGCAUUCCCCACAUGCCCAGAUGGCUGCUUUGUGCCACAGAGGACGAGGCCGCUGCCUGCACAUCUCCCUCCUGUCUCCAGGUCUUCGAGAACGAGUGGGAGUCGGACCGAGAGAGCGACGUGGCGUCGGACUGCUUCACGGAAGGGUCGCUGGCGUUUUGCACGGGGGACCCUGAACCCGCUGCCCUGGUCCCCAAGGCUCUUUGGGGCCACUCAACCCCGAAACCAGCCCAGGGUUGCAGCGCUCCUGUCGGGGACUCCUCAGCUGCAGACCUGGAGUGGGACCCCUCGGUGGACGUGGGCGGGUCCACCUCGCAGGACGAAGACUCGUCGUAUUACAGUGCUGUCAUGGGCCUCGGCCGGGGGGACCAUCUUCGGCGGAGGAGCCGUUCUUGGCGCUGGAGCUGGGGCAGAACGGAAGAAUUUUCGGUCCCAGAGGAGGGGGAGCUCUGUAGCUGCCCGGGGUCUUAUCCGAUGAAAACAGAUGUUUUGGUUGUUGAAGAUCCUUUGGCUUGCAGGUGGAAAGUUUCAUUUUGGGGCCCCUUUCCACUUUGUCGUUCCUUUUGGGUAGGACAUCCCACCCCCCAGGAACCAGGAGCUGCCCAGCUGCCCACGAUGGGGCUCUGCUGCCCACCCCUCGAAGCCAAGGGGUUUGAUCCCAAACGCAUUGAGACCUGGCUGGACCAGAACUGCCAGAACCAAAUGGGAAUCCCUCCAGAGAUCAAAGAGGACUCCAUAACCCACGUGGAUAAGCUUCCACCGGCCAAGGAGUUGCAGCACCCUCUGCAAAUUCAGACAAGGGGCCAGAAAGUCCACCGAUGGUCCAGGAAAAAAGGCAAACAGAACCUCAUCACUGGCCAGUUGUGGUCGGGGAAGGAGCAACGGAUCUCCAAGACGCUAAAUUCCCCAUCAGCAGAAAUUAUGGCUACUAUUGAGAAAGAAUGUGACCUGCAGCUACCCAAAGGGAUUUCUACCCAGUCCAAGAAGCUCUGCAGAGCCUCUGUCCUCUGGCUGCUCUUGAGCACGACCUUUGCGGUGCUGGUGUGGUUGCUGUGCCAGUCCUCUUUCCUUCCCCUCUCCCAGCCCCGCUGCCUCCAGACCAAUGGCUUUGCCAAAUCCUUCCACCUCAUGCUAAAAUACGAGGGUCCUCCCCCCACGUAG
RNAcentral lists this long non-coding RNA (1226 nucleotides) under Naja naja (Indian cobra). RNAcentral's name for it is "lncRNA (ENSNNAG00000016796.1)". The record is from RNAcentral. Lineage: Eukaryota; Metazoa; Chordata; Lepidosauria; Squamata; Elapidae.